Molecule: microRNA, 18 nt
Filed under: Homo sapiens (human)
Lineage: Eukaryota; Metazoa; Chordata; Mammalia; Primates; Hominidae
Description: hsa-miR-5703
Source: miRBase by way of RNAcentral
AGGAGAAGUCGGGAAGGU